CCUACGGGAGGCAGCAGUGGGGGAUAUUACACAAUGGGGGGAACCCUGAUGCAGCGACGCCGCGUGGGUGAAGAAGCGCCUCGGCGCGUAAAGCCCUGUCAGCAGGGAAGAAAAUGACGGUACCUGAAGAAGAAGCCCCGGCUAACUACGUGCCAGCAGCCGCGGUAAUACGGAGGGGGCAAGCGUUAUCCGGAUUUACUGGGUGUAAAGGGGGCGCAGACGGCGAUGCAAGCCAGGAGUGAAAGCCCGGGGCCCAACCCCGGGACUGCUCUUGGAACUGCGUGGCUAGAGUGCAGGAGGGGCAGGCGGAAUUCCUGGUGUAGCGGUGAAAUGCGUAGAUAUCAGGAGGAACACCGGUGGCGAAGGCGGCCUGCUGGACUGCAACUGACGUUGAGGCCCGAAAGCGUGGGGAGCAAACAGGAUUAGAUACCCUUGUAGUC
RNAcentral lists this ribosomal RNA (440 nucleotides) under uncultured bacterium. RNAcentral describes it as "partial 16S ribosomal RNA". It matches the Rfam family "Bacterial small subunit ribosomal RNA", at positions 338 to 795 of the family's 1533-position model. The record is from RNAcentral.